RNAcentral lists this ribosomal RNA (793 nucleotides) under uncultured bacterium. Its description in RNAcentral is "bacterial SSU rRNA". It matches the Rfam family "Bacterial small subunit ribosomal RNA", at positions 110 to 889 of the family's 1533-position model. The record is from RNAcentral.
ACAUGCAGUCGACAAUCUACCGAGAAGUGGGGGAUAGCUCGCCGAAAGGCGAAUUAAUACCGCAUAUGAUCAGAGGCGACAUCGCUUCGAAAUCAAAGCCGGGGCAACCUGGCGCUUCUUGAGGAGCCCGCGGCCUAUCAGCUUGUUGGUGAGGUAACGGCUCACCAAGGCAUUGACGGGUAGCUGGUCUGAGAGGACGACCAGUCACACUGGAACUGAGACACGGUCCAGACACCUACGGGUGGCAGCAGUCGAGAAUUUUUCUCAAUGGGGGAAACCCUGAAGGAGCGACGCCGCGUGGAGGAUGAAGGUCUUCGGGUUGUAAACUCCUGUCAUUUGGGAACAAGGCUGCGCAGUUAACUGCCGCGCAGUUGAUAGUACCAGAAGAGGAAGGGACGGCUAACUCUGUGCCAGCAGCCGCGGUAAUACAGAGGUCUCAAGCGUUGUUCGGAUUCAUUGGGCGUAAAGGGUGCGUAGGCGGCGCGGUAAGUCGGGUGUGAAAUUUCGAGGCUUAACUUCGAAACUGCAUUCGAUACUGCCGUGCUUGAGGACUGGAGAGGAGACUGGAAUUUACGGUGUAGCGGUGAAAUGCGUAGAUAUCGUAAGGAAGACCAGUGGCGAAGGCGGGUCUCUGGACAGUUCCUGACGCUGAGGCACGAAGGCCAGGGGAGCAAACGGGAUUAGAUACCCCGGUAGUCCUGGCAGUAAACGGUGCACGUUUGGUGUGGGAGGAUUCGACCCCUUCUGCGCCGGAGCUAACGCGUUAAACGUGCCGCCUGGGGAGUACGGUCGC